CCGAUGAACAGCGAAGACCCCCACGUAAGUUAUAUUUUAAAAAUUUCACAUAGACGAUAUUAGAAAUACUAAAAUAGUAAAAAUAAAAUUUUUGAAAUGGGUUAUACUCAUAAAUAAAUAUAUAAAUAAAAUAAUGCGUCUCACAGUGGUCUGAAUUUAGCUUUCCUCAGGUCAAUUUUAAAAUUAUGUCAGAUAUUCAUUUCUAUAAAUUUACUUAAGAUAAUCCGAAUUCUUAUCUUGCAUUUUCCCCAACACAAACCCGAUUAAAUACCCAUAUAAGUAUGAAUAAAAUAUAAAAAAUUUCAACAAUUCAAACAAUUAUAUUUUUAAAGGAACGUGUAUACAUAAUUGAAUGUUUUUUUUUUUCUAAAUUUAAUAUAGAUUCUACAGUACAGAGAAGUUCACUACUAUAGCUUUUGAAAUGUAUUUGUGCAAAAAUUCAGUUAUUAAUAUUAUUAUCGAGUCUAUGAAAAUAAAAAUCCGACAGAAAUCUUAUAUUUUCCUAUCAUAGACAUAAUCAAAUUUUUAAAAAAUUUAACCAAGUUUUGUACUUUAUUUUUACAAAUUCUAUAUUUUCCAUAAAUAUUGAAAAUAUUAAUUAUAUUCGUAAUAACGACGUUGGUAAUUUUUUUAUCAACUUCCCCCCCUACUAAAUUUUUAUUUUGUUUACGUGAUUCCAAGAUGUUUAAUUUAUAAUUCGAAACCUGUCGUAUAAUACCCUGAUUAUUUUACUCCAGGCGACGCAUUUAUUCGUUUUUUUAUUUUAUAUUUCUAUAAGUAAAUUUGUGUUUAUAUAUUUAUUAAAAAACCUGUAAUAUUAUAAGUUAGUGGCUAAUUCGAUACCGUAUUACAUUUUCAAUCAUUUCCGAAGGAAAAUAAAUUGUCACCCAAACUAACCUAAUAAAACAAUNACACUGAGCAUUCAAUACGUUUUUUUGUUGACCGUCGCGGUACGACUCUGUCCGUAGUCUUGCCUUUUGUCAGUGUUUCAACUGCACUGGCAUUGGUCGCUGAAAUCUGAUUGUUAGCCAAUUGUACCUUGUCCAAAUUAAUAGUAUACCCGGCGGCGAGCGAAAACACGUCCAUUUUCGCGCAUCGGUUCCCACUUCCAGUUACCGAUAUCGCUUAAUCAAUUUAACCACCGAUGAAUCUCGCCACCGCCAAUAUACGUGGUAUACGACAAACAUAGAAAACAAAUCAUCUAUACAAUUUUGUAUUAAUAUCCUUACCAUGUACACGUAUUUUCUCCCACAAGUGUUCUGUUUUAAUGUAAAUAAACGCUGAUUUUUACCCUGUUUCAAAUUUGACUGGUUUAAUUAUCUCCCAUUAAAAUCUACAUUUCACUGGCCAUGCCGGAUCCAUAAAUCUGCCCAAUACCGGGACAAUUUUGAGUAUUGUAGAAUAGCCCUGGAAUAAAGUACGAAAAAACCGUCGAACGUUCGCUAACAGUCUAUUUUUGCAAAAUAGAUAGAUCAAUAUAAUAUAAUAACUCUGUAAUAGAAUACCUAUAUGCGUGUUCUCGCAUAACCUGGAUGCAAGGACAGACGUAAAAGGUUAUCACUUGACUAGGCAAUAAUAUGUUGUUGUCGAAAACGCGUACUUCGCAUAUCUAACUAGAAGGGAGUGGUCCAGGGUAUAUAAACCGGCCGGCUCAAUCGUCUUUACAGACGAGUCUUACCACUAUCAAGUACAAGUAUCUUCACGCCCCAUAGACUUGUGAUUAUAUUAAAAGUGUUAUCACUGGACUACACAUUAACACUCAAUAUUUUUCAACUAAAAUAAAUAAACCCUUAUAAUUAUUGUGUUUGUUAUUUCAACUUAAACCUGAGUUUAAAAGUACGCCUGCAACACUAAUAAUUUUUCUUUCAAUAGGUCUGUCUGGAACAGCUGUUUUGUUGUUUUAGUGUUGCAUAUUAAUUAAUGUAUAAUUUAAAGAAUAUAAUUUUCAAAGAAAAAUUGAUGAUAUUUUUAUUAUAAUAAAAUAAUAAACGUUUUUCUGUUAUAUUUUGAUACUAUUUACUUUGUUAAAUUAUAUAAUACAAAAUUGUUUUGUUACCUAUUGAUAAUAUUCCUGUUUUUCAUUUGUAUUCCUCUAGCCAACGGAGGGCAAUAACAACCACGUAAGUUAUAUUGUAAAUAUUUCAUAUAGAAUUUAUUAAAAAUAAUAAAAUAAUAAAGUUAAAAUUAAAUGAUUAAAAUGUUUUAUAUUCAUAAAUAAAUAUACAAAUGAAAUUUAAAUAAAAUGAAAGAAUGCGUCCCACAGUGGUCUGAAUUUAGCCGAUUUAAUUCAAGCUAAAUCUUGCCUUGAAUCAAUUUAAAAAUAGCAUACACAUUACUCAACAAAAACCUGAUUAAAUAUCUAUAUAAGUAUAAAAAAAAUAUAUAAAAUUGCAUAAGUAAAAAUUACAUUGUCGUAUCGCUAAUCAUAUUUUAAAAUUAACGUUUCGAAAAACUCACCCUCCUUUUGAAAAUGUUGCUCUGUUUAAAUUUAAAUGUAACUACAAUCAAUUUUUUAUUAAUAAGUCAAAUUGAAAUUUUAAAAUAAGAUAUAUAGAACACUUUUUUUAAAUAAGAUUAAAAAAGUCUGCCUCUUAUCAAAAUUUCGUUAAACAUGUUUUAAAUAUAACCAUAAUAUAAGUUUUGAUAUUAAUACAGAUUUAUAAAUAUUAAAUACCCAAAAUUAUAUUUAAGUUAAUUCAGUAUUAGAAUAAUUACACGUACAUUAUGAGGUAAAAGAUAAUAAUUUUAAUAAUAUAUAAAAUGGCCAAGUCGAUUUUAAAAAUAAUAAUUUAUAUUUCUUAACAUUAUCUAUUGCUAAUAAUAAGUAAUUUUAUUACAUAUAAUAUUAAGAAACGUUAGUUUCUUAAUUAUUAUUAUUAAUAAUCUCACUAAAUAAAAUAAUGUUUUUCUAUGUAAAACGACCACUUUGUAUAAUUUUUAUUCUAUCUACUCCGUCAUUUAAUUUUCUAUAUUCAGUCGCGUUUUACAUUUUGAUUGUGAUAUACCAGCUGAAAGGCACGUAUACAGGGGAGAGAGGGGUUCAAAAUUUGUAAAAUUUGCAAAAUGUUGCGUAAUUCAUUUAUAAAUAUUGAUAAUAUUUAUUAUAUUCGUAAUAAUGAUUAUUGUAACCAGGCGACGCAUUAAUUCAAUUUAUUUACAGAGGUGGCCAAAAGUCGCGCAACAAAUUUGCAACACAGUUUUUAUAAAACUGUUGUGUUUUAUGUUAAAUAUGUUGUUUUUUUAUUAACCUUGCUGUUGUUGUACGUAAACAAUAUAACGAGACCAAAGUUACAAUAUGACGUAACGGAAACGACGUGGAGGGAGAAACUGCGCCGUAACGCGCGUUCCGUACAAGACGGUAGGCAUUGCGUGACUUUUGGCCACCUCUGUAUUUUAUAUUUGUAUACAAAAAUGUUUAUUUAUAUAUUUAUUAGAAAGCUUAUAAUUUAAUAGGAUAGUAUCAAUUCGAAGGGUACUGUUUUGCAUUUUCACAUAUUAACAUAAUAUUAUAUGGACUAAAAUUAAGAGAAAAUAAUAUCUACUAAUUAAUUCAUACUUUUUAUAAUAGUGCGUAAUUCAUAGGCAACAAAUGUAUUAUAAAUCGUGGUAAAUAAAUCAAAUAUACACAUUAAUUAGAAAAAAAAAUAGAAGAUAUUUAUUUUUAGAAUAAAAAAAACAAAAUGAUUUCAAGGUCUAAACACAAACAUAGACAAAUUAAUGUACAACUUAAUCAUAUGUCUUCGCUUUUUCUGUAAUGACAUGCUUCCAAUAAAUUUUUAAAACUGUAACAUGUGGUAAACAGGCACAACUAUAUAUAAUAUUCUAAGCUUUUUGUUGAUAUUUUAGAUAAAAUGUUUGUGCUGUUUAGAUAAUAUUAUUAUAACACUGAUAAUGUUAACAUUAUUUAACAGUAGCAUAUAUAAGAAGGGACACAGUGGUUUAUAGAUUUUCAUUGUGGGAGUAUUGUGAUCAUCUCGCAGAAUGAACAUUGUCUUAAAUAUUAUCUAUUUAAUUAAUUCAAUUUAUCAUGCCUCAAUUAUUGAAAUAUAUGUUUUAUUUUUGAAAGAGUUAUUUUUAUGGCUGUAAUAGAGGUACAUAUGCAAAAAAAUGACCAAUUUGUUACUUAAUAUUUACAGUAAAUACUAUUUUAUGUAUUUUUGUGAAAUGUGAAAUACAUUUUAGUUGACAUUUUUUUUUUUAUAAAAUUAGCAAUUACUGUAAUAUUAUUAUUUUUUUUUUUUUACUCUAGUGCCACGUAAGACCCAAAGUAUCAAUUUCAUUACAACAAUAUUACAAUUUUAAAGUUUGAAUAUAUAAACUUGAAUACAUAAACUGAACCGGUAUAAACAUGUUAGUGUAACAUGAUAUUUACUAUUUCGCACUCGAAUUUUAUUUACUAAUAUUUAAUUAAGAUUUACUAUAAUAUUAUUGAUACUUCUUUUAAUAAUAUUAUAAGUUCAUUAGCAAUAAGCAUGUAUUAUUGUAAUAUUGCAUACAUAUUAUCAUGUAUGUAAUCAAUUUAAUAAUAUAUAAUGCGUUCGAUAC
Molecule: long non-coding RNA, 4545 nt
Filed under: Cinara cedri
Lineage: Eukaryota; Metazoa; Arthropoda; Insecta; Hemiptera; Aphididae
Source: RNAcentral